AUUGAACGCUGGCGGCAUGCCUUACACAUGCAAAUCGAACGGUAACAGGUCAAGGGAUGCUGACGAGUGGCGAACGGGUGAGUAAUACAUCGGAACGUGCCUAGUAGUGGGGGAUAACUACUCGAAAGAGUGGCUAAUAUCGCAUGAGAUCUACGGAUGAAAGCAGGGGAUCGCAAGACCUUGUGCUACUAGAGCGGCCGAUGGCAGAUUAGGUAGUUGGUGGGAUAAAAGCUUACCAAGCCGACGAUCUGUAGCUGGUCUGAGAGGACGAUCAGCCACACUGGGACUGAGACACGGCCCAGACUCCUACGGGAGGCAGCAGUGGGGAAUUUUGGACAAUGGGCGCAAGCCUGAUCCAGCAAUGCCGCGUGCAGGAUGAAGGCCUUCGGGUUGUAAACUGCUUUUGUACGGAACGAAAAGCCCCGGGUUAAUACCCUGGGGUCAUGACGGUACCGUAAGAAUAAGCACCGGCUAACUACGUGCCAGCCGCCGCGGUAA
RNAcentral lists this ribosomal RNA (498 nucleotides) under uncultured bacterium. RNAcentral's name for it is "partial 16S ribosomal RNA". It matches the Rfam family "Bacterial small subunit ribosomal RNA", at positions 30 to 523 of the family's 1533-position model. The record is from RNAcentral.